RNAcentral lists this long non-coding RNA (1180 nucleotides) under Malus domestica (apple). Its description in RNAcentral is "long non-coding RNA (MDOM_LNC013241)". Lineage: Eukaryota; Viridiplantae; Streptophyta; Magnoliopsida; Rosales; Rosaceae. The record is from RNAcentral.
GACAUUUCUUGCAAAUACCCCUUCCAAUGUCCAUCCUUUCAUAAAGAAAGUUUGUUCCCUUGGAGUUAAUUUAAUCUUCUUCAUUUGACUUCUCCUUUGACUACAAUAGUCAUGGUCCCUAAACUCCCACUAUCUUUCUUGAAACCUUUUUCAAUUGUGUUAUACACAUCAAACAAUUUGGAGAGCUUGUGGUUAUUGUUCACUACAUAGUUUACAAUAAACUUAGUGAACCAUUAGGAUAGGGAAACAAAAGUGAAGUCCUUGCCUAGUUUCCAUCUCGUUAAGUGGUUUAUCACUUCAACACUCAAUGAUUCAAAAUCAUCAUAAGUCCAUGUUGAUGGACUAUUUUUGUCAACCAACCAUUAUGUUCUAAACAUAAUUACAAACUUUCAAGAGUUGUACAAGGCAAAUCUCAUUUCUUCAUACAACAAUUUGUAAGUGAAGAAUCAUGGCACUUUAAGAAUCAUUUCUCCAAGGGGCCGGCCUCUUUAGAGAGAAAUGGAGAGACAUGUUCUCUCCAAUUUUCUCCAAAACAAACCCUAAAUGAAUUUUGGCUAUAAAGUCAUAUUUAUACCUUUAUUCAUUUGAGUGGCAAACUUGUAAAUAAGUCCAAGUUCACUACCCUUAACCAUAUGGCCGGCCUUAGGGUGUUGUUUGGGCUUUUGUGAAUUAAGUUGUCAUACAACUUAAGUCAAUGGGCUUGACGUUCGAAGCCCAUUGGGCCUAAACGUCCAAAACUAUCCCGAGGUCUUUAACGAACUUAUUCGUUUGAUUAAUUAACAUAUUAAUUAAUCCUUGCCAUAAAUAAUUAAACCAUUUAAUUAUUCGUACUCAUCUCCAUUGUUUCUUCAAUCUCCACCUUACACGGUGUACGAUCCAUUAGGUUCCUUUUAGCGAGGCAGUGGGCGAUUCAAACUCUUUCAAAUCGAUCGUGAAUUGAAACUUACUUUCAAUUCUCCCUUUAGUGAUUAUACACGUUUAGGGCUUCCACAAACCAAGAGUGACACCUAGCAGCAUAUCAUGGUUACCCAAGUUAAUCAGAAGAGGUGGAGAACCUAUUCAGUUUAGGAUUACAAAUGCAAUACGGUCUUUCUCUAAUACAAUACUCUUGACCUCAUUGUUUGGUUUGAUAGUUUAUUUAUUCAUGUCUACUAUCCAAUGUGAUUCGUGUGCUUAUAUG